CACCAGACUCCUACGGGAGGCAGCAGUCGGGAAUAUUGCGCAAUGGAGGAAACUCUGACGCAGUGACGCCGCGUAUAGGAAGAAGGUUUUCGGAUUGUAAACUAUUGUCGUGAGGGAAGAAAUUGACAGUACCUCAGGAGGAAGCUCCGGCUAACUACGUGCCAGCAGCCGCGGUAAUACGUAGGGAGCAAGCGUUAUCCGGAUUUAUUGGGUGUAAAGGGUGCGUAGACGGGAAUGCAAGUUGGUUGUGAAAUCCCUCGGCUUAACUGAGGAACUGCAACCAAAACUACAUUUCUUGAGUGCUGGAGAGGAAAGUGGAAUUCCUAGUGUAGCGGUGAAAUGCGUAGAUAUUAGGAGGAACACCAGUGGCGAAGGCGACUUUCUGGACAGUAACUGACGUUGAGGCACGAAAGUGUGGGGAGCAAACAGGAUUAGAUACCCGUGUAA
RNAcentral lists this ribosomal RNA (447 nucleotides) under uncultured bacterium. Its description in RNAcentral is "bacterial SSU rRNA". It matches the Rfam family "Bacterial small subunit ribosomal RNA", at positions 329 to 793 of the family's 1533-position model. The record is from RNAcentral.